AUUGAACGCUGGCGACAUGCCUUACACAUGCAAGUCGAACGGCAGCACGGGUGCUUGCACCUGGUGGCGAGUGGCGAACGGGUGAGUAAUACAUCGGAACAUGUCCUGUAGUGGGGGAUAGCCCGGCGAAAGCCGGAUUAAUACCGCAUACGAUCUACGGAUGAAAGCGGGGGACCUUCGGGCCUCGCGCUAUAGGGUUGGCCGAUGGCUGAUUAGCUAGUUGGUGGGGUAAAGGCCUACCAAGGCGACGAUCAGUAGCUGGUCUGAGAGGACGACCAGCCACAUUGGGACUGGAACACGGCCCAGCCCCCGCGGGGAGGCAGAGGGGGGGAUUUGUGGACAGUGGGAGAAAGCUUGACCCACAAAGGCCGCGUGUUGAAAGAGGGCUUCCGGGUUAAAAAGCCUUUUUCUCGGAAAAGAAACCUUGGCCCCUAAUGCGGGCGGGGGAGGGGGUUCCGGAAAAAAAAGACCCGGCCAAGCUAGGUC
This 486-nucleotide ribosomal RNA is filed under the name uncultured bacterium. RNAcentral's name for it is "partial 16S ribosomal RNA". It matches the Rfam family "Bacterial small subunit ribosomal RNA", at positions 29 to 508 of the family's 1533-position model. The record is from RNAcentral.